GCCAGGGACUCACAUAUGUGCCUGUGUGGCAGCUGGAAUGGAAGAAAGCAAAGUCAUUACUCAUCGCUUGCAUUCUGUCAAGGCCUUCAUUCUUCUGGAAAGAAAACAGCGAGUUAGUAAGCGGUGGUGAGGAAGAGAACGCUACUUUAUGACUGAGAUUCCAGCGUGUAGAGGGCUGUGUGUAUACACACACUUUGUUGGCAUUACUCUUUUGUCCCCUGCGUCCAUUUGUCCAUCUUCUAAAGAGCUCUUUCAUCCAAGCAGCAUACCCAGGGUGUUUGGUUGGCUUUGUUUGGCAAUGUCCUGCACUGUUUCACAUUGCAAAUGGUUCUCUGCACAAACACAAAAAAGGAGGGUAAAGUAAUGAUGACAAGUGCCAUCAACCUCAUGAUCUACUUCCAACCAGCAUGAAAACUGUAAGAGGACCCUGGGAAACAGCCUGGCUUUCAGCACGUGACUCUCAGUCCCUAUCCCAGCAUGCUCAGUGAUGUUUAUGCUCCCAGAUUUUGUGUAGAUUAAAGCAUACCACAGAUUGUGGCUGUUACGGUCUUCAUUACCAGUUACCACCCAGGCUUCACAAGGAAUAAGUCCUGAUGUCUUUGGCAUGAUCGACUGAGAUGGCCUUCCAUACCCCAGAGCAAGAACCAGCAUGUUCUCUGCUUGCUGGGAAGUCUCUCAGCAUCACCACGUGGCUGUGGCAGUCCUCCCGUAGUGGCCGAAGCCACCCCCAUCUGUGGUGGAUCCCAGCUCUUGUUCAGUGUUUUCUGCUUCAGUCCACUUCAGACUUUGAUCAGAACUCUUAAGAGCUGGCAUUCGUUCUAGACGGCAGAGCUUUUCCACAUGCACAUCCUUUAUGGGGCACACUCUGUGGUCUUGUUCUGCUCCUACUGACAAAGCUCCUGUUGGCUUCCCUGGAGCAAGGAGGGCCGAGAGGCACUCAUUUUCUGAUUUAUUAAUUGCCUGUGUUUCCAGCCAGUCCGGAGCUGUGGGUGCAGAAACCUUGAGGGGGUCGCUUACCUUGGUGCAAGUAUCAUUGCAGCCUUUCUGAUGCCAGUGGAAAAUUAAUAUCCUUUGGAGACAACUUAAGGGCACUCUAUGAGCUAUAUAAAGAAGACAACAACAGGAUCAGAAUGAAAACUAGCAGUCUGUGAUAUCAGAUGAAACGCUCCCUUGUCGGCUGUUUUUUCAGAAGCUGUUUGUUACUUCAUUUCACCCACUUCCCAGAGCCUCCAAAAGUUAUUUUUAAAUGACCUGCUUGCCACACAUUCCCUGAAGAGGCCCAACUAUUUUCUCGUCUUUCACAAAGUCCCUUGCUAGUGCAGGUACCUAUAAUUAUUCAUACACAAACCUCAAGCAGGCAGCUUCCCAUCUUCCAUUUAGAUUUUUUUAAAUGGACAAUGAAGAAGGGAACAAUUCAGCCAUACAGCUCGGUGAAGCUCUUGCUCUGCAGCUCUCUGAGCCCAGCACCAUGGUGACAGGUCUCUCUUUCUGUAGAAAAUGUAUGCGAUCCCUGCAUGUCCAUCACAAAGCACCCAGUGGCUGGGACAAGCAUAUGAGACACAGGGCUCUGUAACAGGCCUAUGGCUUGCUCUCCUCUGACAUCAUUGGGAAAGGUCAACGCUUGCAUGUGAAGUAAGACGUAUGCACAGCCUUUUCAGAGGGGUUUGCUGAGAAACAGAGCGGAAUGCAUGUGGUCAUGUUUGAGUAAUAUAUGGAUAGCUGCUAGGUUCACUUCCUCUGCAGGCCUUUCUGUUUUCAGAAUAUUUAGCUGAAUAUGAGCAAUUUUUGCUCACUCCAGAAGCGUUUUCUACAGCCAGACCUAUUCACAGCACUGGCAAGACCUAGCUCAUCAGGUUAACACACGUGAAGUUCAUCUCACAUGAAGUUAGUAUCUCAGCUCACUACAAUAUAGGCUCAACGCGUGGCAUUUUGAAAGCAGGAGACCUCUGGGGAUGUUGUCAAGGCUGUUCGUGGCCCUCCAGAUGUACUACAAAAGGGAAGGUCUGAUGGGGAAAGAGGAGGAAGCAGAAUGCCCAAAGGUUGCUGUCAACUUCUUCUCUUCCCAUCACAGUGAGCAGUGGAUAGGGCUGCUUUUUCACCAGCGGGAGCUGAGCAGAGAGUUGCUUCAAGUUCCUUUUAAAGGAGGAAAAAAAAAAAAAAAAGUGAAACCUGAAAAAAUAGCAUGAGAAAUCAUCUGAAAUCCGUGUAAUGGGAUGUUUCAGUUUGAUGAAGAAGCAUAACCGCUCUUCUCUAUGCAACAAGCAAGGUUACUAAAUUACAUUAUUUUCCCUAAGCAAAAAAGCAGUUCAAUUGCACAGAUCUGAGCUACACAUGUAUUGAAACAUACCUGUCUUCCUCAAUUUUUUUUUUAAAUGAAAUACUAGCCAAAAAAUGGUGUGUUUGUCCAAUUGUUGUCUUGUAUGUGUCAAAAAUAAUGUCUGACCUAAAAUGCAUGCCCCAAAAUGGUGACUGAAAUCAAAAGAGAGACUUAUUUUCCUGAUUGAAUGUUUCUAUGGCUCGCGGUAACAAAACCCCCUGCAAAGCAUUUCCAUUUGGCUCUGUUUUGGCAUUUAGAAAUUCCUGGUCAACAAAGAAUGCACGGUCUGGGAAGUCUGACCACCGCGUUUCAGGGAAAGGAAACUGAAAAGAGAGGGAUCCCAAUGAUUAACACUGUAAUAGGUAGCAAAUAUGGAAAAGUAGAAUGGAAGGGCAGUGCAGCACUUACCUCCGGAACCAAGCAGUAGUUCCAGGUAGCUUUAUUCUAGUAAGAAGAAUAUCCAGGGGAUCUGAGUAUCCUCAUGGUGCUGGGUCAGCAGCUGGCAGAGCAGCACUGGUAGAUGCAAGCACAGAGGACACCACGUUGACCCCCCUGCCUACCCGGCUGGGUCAGAAGCAGGUUGGGUAGGAUCACAGAGGUGCAGUUUUGUCAGCAGGAGGUUUGGGAGCAGACGGAAGCAGCGGUCCGCCAUUCCCAGCAGUCCUGCCAGAGAAAUUGAGCUGGUACAGGGUGGGGAAAUGAGCUGUGCUAGAGAACGGAGAAGUAUUACAAUCAUAAUUUGCCUGAAGCAGUAAAGAAAGCAAGAAAAGGAAUAGUGACUCUUGCGGGGAUUCAGCUGCACGCCGCUCCUUUUGGGGGGCAAGCUGUGAUAUUUCAGCCCCACCUGUUGAAUUCACACCCAGGGAAAUAAAAUCUAGAUGAAAAUAGGGAGUUCUUAAAAUUAUUUUUACUAACCCAUCACUCAGCAUUCUUUAUCUAUGAUUUAAAAGCACUUCUAUCAUUCAUAACUCUUCACCCAGAGGGAAAAACGGGAUAGGAUUUUGCAUGACUCAAGGGUCUUAUGGGAUGCUUUAAAAUGGCUCAGCUUUCAGGCUUUUAACUGUGUUGAAGCACAGCAAAAACUAGAGUUCAGUAACAUAGUAACAUGGCCUGGGCACUGGGCUUCCAUAGAGAACACAAAGUACGUUUGUGUUUGUUAAAGGUGGUUUUGUUCUGAAGGGGACUUCAAGCUGCUCCAGAAAGCCGGGCAAAUACCACCUGGUUAAGGACGAGCACAAAGGCUCCUGCUGUCCUGGGGAUAUUCUCAGAUAUUUGCACAAAGCUUCCAACUUUUUGGACUACCUCAUUAUACAGAUAACCUGAAGCUUGCAUACACAGUCACAGCCAUAGCACCCCUUGCAGUUUCCAGGGACAGAUUCUCAGCUGCUGUGAAUCUGCAUGGAGCCACCAAGAAUUCAGUCCCUUGCAUUUAUUUCUAGCAAGCAAUUACCACAUGGGGUUUCUUUUCUCCUUAGCCUCAAUCUGUGCGUGUCCUUUCUCCUGCUCCCUCAUCUCCUGAGUGUUCACACAGAGUGCAUCUGCAGCAUCCUCACAGGCUGCGAGGCACGGUAAGGACAGACAGCAGGAGAGAGGAGAGGGCUGUCCCUGGAGUUGUUCUUUGGUGCAGCUUUGACCAAGAUCUGCUGCUGAGACGCAGAACAGCGGGCUGCAGGCUUGUGGCAGCAGCACCUGAAGAUCCUGACCUUUCCUUCUCUGGGCAGAGUUGUUGUUGUGCUGCUGUUCUGAGUAAUCCCUGUACAAGACCUACUAGUAGUAGCAACAAUAAUGAUAAAGAGCUACAGAACAACCUCUGGUUUCUGAAUAUGGUUCAGAAGGGAACCAUACCACAACUGUCUGCUUUAGAAGCGCUGGGAAAGUUUGCCAUAGUUAAGACUGAAAGUAUUAGGCAGAUGUGACCUUUAAUAUCUGAACUGUCAUGAGACAGGAAAUCACAUUGUUACCUAAGUGCCAAAACAGCCCAUAGCAGCUCAACCAUGAGCACGAGGGGCCACUUCAUUCCCGGGGUGAUGCUGUGUGACAGACCCCUGAUGUCUGACUGGGGCUCCAGUACCUCAACAAAGUCCCCUCCAUGAUGGGCACAGUGCAGUCCUUUGUUCCAAGAGGAGCACAGGUUAUUGAGAAAUCACACUCCUUGGCUCCUGAAGUUUCCUCUCUGAGCACAGCUGCAUCAAACACAUGGCAAGUCUGUAGGCCGAGCUACCCUGGAUGACAAACCAAAAGACAACUAAGGAGCUUUGCAAACAAAAUGCAAGUCAUCUUUUUUCCUCCCUAGGUUCUCCCCUCUGAAACACCUGGCUGUUUGUGGCCAACUUCCAGCACUGAAAGGCCGCGGCAGGCUGCACAGCAAGGGGGAAACCUGCACGUGGAUAGACCUGGUGCUGGCAGGGUUAGAGGGAGGGAAGCUAAUGGGGAACAAGUUUCCCAUUUCAGCAGAGACAAGCAUUGCUCUGUGACAGGACAAGAUUUGACAGAGUUUGUUGUUUUGAGCUUAGCAUGCCCAAGAUCCCCUUCUUCCGACACAGUGUAUUGUGCCUCAGAUGAAAUCCUUUUGAAGAAUAACAUGCACACACAAUGUCAUCUGACGUUAUUCCAGUGCCACAGGGAACAUCUUGAGCAUGAUUACACCUCAUGGAAGUUGACUUGCUAUGUGAAAAACAGCCCAAAAUGCUUUCACAACAAAUCUGUAAACACAUUUACGCUCCCAAUAGCCAUGACAAACCCCAUCAAGCAGCCAGGAUUAGUGCUACCAACUCUCACUAAAGGAGUGAACAGAGUCUCUGUUGCAUGAAAUACACCAGCUGUAAGGAAGAACUCACAGCUCCUGGCCACCAAGUUUGUAGGCAAGCCCCACUCGGGAGGACUGGCAGCCAAGCCAAGACUCCUUGAGUCCUGCUUGCUCACAUCCUGUCCGCACUGGCACUGCACUGCCUCACCUCCCUCUCCCCAGUCCAUUACAACCACGCCUAUUCAGCUCUUCCUCAGCACCAGACAGCAAGCCCAACAGGCUCUCAUGCCCCUUUCAGAGCGCUCUGGUCACCCUCCACCCUUUGUGUCAGUGUGACAGCCUCAAGAGAAUGGAGCCCAUGUCCAUUUUGCAGCUUACUUUCUGCAGAUCCCAGCUGCAGCAUGCACAGCUCACCCAUCAGGAACUGCUGCUGUGGGAAACUGCUGUGCAGCACAGCAUGGCAGAGAAUCCAACUGCAGGUUAUCCUCACUUGAGAUGAGGAGCAAAAUCUAAGCCUGUCAAGAUCAGAACGUGUCCCAGCACAAGUGCUGGUCCUCGCCUUAUGCUGAAGGCCGUCAGAAUGAGGGUUGCUUGGUGUUACCAGUAUCGUCUCCUUUCAGGUGCAGAGCUCACACUUGCAAUAACUGCAGGCAGUACCAACAGCCAAGGAGGUUUCUGCACGUGCACACACCAGCCCCACACCAUGCUGGAGGUCCUACUUCAGGAUGUGGCACUGCAAGGGACCAGUUGUAAAAUCCCAAAUCUUAAACGUGGAAAAACUCACUUGCCCAAGUGCUGUUCAACUUCCCUGCAGUUCACAAGCUGUUCAAAAAAAUGUAGUUAGCGAUAAUAACCACACUUCUGAAGCCAGUUAAUUAGAAGACCUGGUUCUAGUCUGAGGUUCUGCUACCCAUUCACUGAAAACAC
Molecule: long non-coding RNA, 5990 nt
Filed under: Gallus gallus (chicken)
Lineage: Eukaryota; Metazoa; Chordata; Aves; Galliformes; Phasianidae
Description: lncRNA (ENSGALG00010015258.1)
Source: RNAcentral